CAGUAGCCACGGGAAUACGAGGGGGGCAAGCGUUGUUCGGAAUUAUUGGGCGUAAAGGGUGCGUAGGCGGUUUCGUAAGUCUGAUGUGAAAUCUAUGGGCUCAACCCAUAGUCUGCAUCGGAAACUGCGAGGCUUGAGAGUGGGAGAGGUGAGUGGAAUUUCCGGUGUAGCGGUGAAAUGCGUAGAUAUCGGAAGGAACACCUGUGGCGAAAGCGGCUCACUGGACCAUUUCUGACGCUGAUGCACGAAAGCUAGGGGAGCAAACAGGAUUAGAGACCCCCGUAGUCCCUGUCUCUUAUAC
RNAcentral lists this ribosomal RNA (301 nucleotides) under uncultured bacterium. RNAcentral describes it as "partial 16S ribosomal RNA". It matches the Rfam family "Bacterial small subunit ribosomal RNA", at positions 509 to 807 of the family's 1533-position model. The record is from RNAcentral.